GGCUGGUCCGAUGGCAGUGGGUUAUCAGAACUUAUUAAACUUGGUAUACAACCUCCCCCCAACCCCCCGCUAAAUUUGACUGGCUUUUA
This 89-nucleotide Y RNA is filed under the name Cavia aperea (Brazilian guinea pig). Its description in RNAcentral is "Y RNA (ENSCAPG00000004943.1)". It matches the Rfam family "Y RNA". Rfam says of the family: Y RNAs are components of the Ro ribonucleoprotein particle (Ro RNP), in association with Ro60 and La proteins. The record is from RNAcentral. Lineage: Eukaryota; Metazoa; Chordata; Mammalia; Rodentia; Caviidae.